GCAGAUGAAUGGUCUCUCUGGCUACCUUUAGACUUUCUUAUCAGCUUGCAGCUGAGCCCGUGCUUUCCCCACACCCCACUUCGUAAUUUCUGCAUGUUUGGUUGUUCAUUGCAGUGUGUUUGGAAGCAGUUAAACCUGUGGUGCUGUGAAGAAUCUGGCCAGCAUACAGGUUCCCAGCCCUGAAAGUGAUACAGGUGUCAGCACAACCCAGCAGGCUUGACCCAGCUGAUCCACACCUUCCAAAUGUGCCUUUAGAGGCAACUAGAAACACCUGCCCUGCUUAUGAGAUGUUAAAAGUGUAAGGGUUCUCACUAAGGUAGUGCUCUAAGAUUUAGGUAAGGUGACUGUGACUGUCUCUGUUAUGAGGAGCUAGGCAGGCUGGUGCUCUGGUCUUGCUUGUGAUGCCAUAUGCAGCAGAAAUCAGAGCUGUCUUCUGGCAAAAAGGCUCAAAGGUGUGGUGGGCUGCUUUUCUCCAUGCUGAGUUUUGCCAACCUGAGGAUAGCUGAGCUGUUCAGGAGAAGGGGGCUAGCCUGCUGAAAUACUGCAUGCAGCAGCUGCCAGAUAGAAACAUUGCUCAGCUGCGACUUCUAUGAGUGCAUGAGAACCUGAAAGCAUAAGUAAAUCACCACAGGUAGCAUG
Molecule: long non-coding RNA, 639 nt
Filed under: Anas platyrhynchos platyrhynchos (common mallard)
Lineage: Eukaryota; Metazoa; Chordata; Aves; Anseriformes; Anatidae
Description: lncRNA (ENSAPLG00000022586.1)
Source: RNAcentral